GUUUUGCACUGAUUGCAAAAAUAAAGUCCUCCGAGCAUACAAUAUCCUUAUUGGUGAACUUGACUGCAGCAAAGAAAAGGGCUACUGUGCUGCACUUUAUGAAGGCUUGCGGUGCUGUCCACAUGAACGACACAUACAUGUUUGCUGUGAAACAGACUUCAUUGCACAUCUUUUGGGUCGUGCUGAGCCAGAGUUCGCAGGAGGGCGAAGAGAAAGGCAUGCAAAGACAAUAGACAUAGCCCAAGAAGAAGUUCUGACCUGCUUGGGAAUUCAUCUUUAUGAAAGACUGCAUCGAAUCUGGCAAAAACUACGGGCAGAAGAGCAGACAUGGCAGAUGCUUUUCUAUCUUGGUGUUGAUGCUUUACGCAAGAGUUUUGAGAUGACCGUGGAAAAAGUACAGGGUAUUAGCAGAUUGGAACAACUUUGUGAGGAAUUUUCAGAAGAGGAACGAGUAAGAGAACUCAAGCAAGAAAAGAAACGCCAAAAACGGAAGAAUAGACGAAAAAAUAAGUGUGUGUGUGAUAUUCCUACUCCCUUACAAACAGCAGAUGAAAAGGAAGUAAGCCAAGAGAAGGAAACAGACUUCAUAGAAAAUAGCAGCUGCAAAGCCUGUGGCAGCACUGAAGAUGGUAAUACUUGUGUAGAAGUAAUUGUUACCAAUGAAAAUACGUCAUGUACCUGUCCUAGCAGUGGCAAUCUUUUGGGGUCCCCUAAAAUAAAGAAAGGUAAGUAAAUAAUUUAUUUUUAAAAUGAACUCUUAACUCUAUUCUUUCUUACUGUUAAAUGUAAGAGCUUUUAGAGAUUCUGUGAGCUAGAAUUUUAAAACUGCUUUAUAGUUCCAAGAAUAUCAUAUAAUUUAGUCAGAUACUUAAUAUUUCCUUUUUCUUUGUUCUUUGACUGAUUUUUGACAAAAACGAAAAAUGGUAAAUUCCUAAUCAUAUUUUUAUUAUUUAAUUUACUUUCUACUUUAAAAAAAAAAAUCCUUCAUUGGAAAUGUUCUACUUUUAAUAAGCCAUUAAUUAUGAGAUUUUUCUGUGGUCCCCAAUGGGUUCACUCUUUGUCCUAAUAUACUUAUUGGUAUGUUAAUUGUAACUCUCACUUGAUUUGUUCUCAGGCUUAUCUCCACACUGUAAUGGUAGUGAUUGUGGAUAUUCAUCUAGCAUGGAAGGGAGUGAAACAGGUUCUCGGGAGGGUUCAGAUGUUGCCUGCACUGAAGGCAUUUGUAAUCAUGAUGAACACGGUAGGCUCACAUUAAGUUUCCCAGUUAUUUCUACUACAUGGCUGACUUAAGAACAUAAAUAAGAAGGAUUAUUGAUUUCUGCAGGUGAUGACUCUUGUGUUCAUCACUGUGAAGACAAAGAGGAUGAUGGUGAUAGUUGUGUUGAAUGUUGGGCAAAUUCUGAAGAGAACAACACAAAAGGAAAAAAUAAAAA
Molecule: small RNA, 1433 nt
Filed under: Pongo abelii (Sumatran orangutan)
Lineage: Eukaryota; Metazoa; Chordata; Mammalia; Primates; Hominidae
Description: retained intron
Source: RNAcentral